AUGGGUGUUGUGCCGGCUGUACAACAAGAAGAACAGCUGGGAGAAGGUCAAGGUGGAGAAGGACAUUGCUGUGGAGGCAUGGCCUGGACGCUCAUCAACCUCGGCCACUUCUUGAUUACAUACCACUUCUUCCACUGGAAGAAGGGAACUCCAUUCGCUGAUGAUCAGGGGGUGUAUAAUAGAUUGACUUGGUGGGAGCAAAUGGACAACGGCAAGCAGCUUACUCGCAACAGAAAAUUUCUUGUUGUGGUUCCUGUAGUCCUUUCAUAUAGUUACACAAUGCUUUUUAGCUUACAUAUCAUACAGCUAUGCAGUGCUCCCUACACUGUCUGUUUACUAUAUAUAUCAUUCAUGUAUUCUUGGAUAGUACUGACUACAUACCAGGGCAAUUAA
RNAcentral lists this ribosomal RNA (393 nucleotides) under Triticum aestivum (bread wheat). RNAcentral describes it as "partial small subunit ribosomal RNA". Lineage: Eukaryota; Viridiplantae; Streptophyta; Magnoliopsida; Poales; Poaceae. The record is from RNAcentral.